This 434-nucleotide ribosomal RNA is filed under the name uncultured bacterium. RNAcentral's name for it is "bacterial SSU rRNA". It matches the Rfam family "Bacterial small subunit ribosomal RNA", at positions 28 to 478 of the family's 1533-position model. The record is from RNAcentral.
GAUGAACGCUGGCGGCGUGCCUAACACAUGCAAGUCGAACGAUGAAACCGCCCUCGGGCGGACAUGAAGUGGCGAACGGGUGAGUAACACGUGACCAACCUGCCCCUUGCUCCGGGACAACCUUGGGAAACCGAGGCUAAUACCGGAUACUCCUCGCCCCCCUCCUGGGGGGCCCGGGAAAGCCCAGACGGCAAGGGAUGGGGUCGCGGCCCAUUAGGUAGUAGGCGGGGUAACGGCCCACCUAGCCCGCGAUGGGUAGCCGGGUUGAGAGACCGACCGGCCACAUUGGGACUGAGAUGCGGCCCAGACUCCUACGGGAGGCAGCAGUGGGGAAUUUUGCGCAAUGGGGGCAACCCUGACGCAGCAACGCCGCGUGCGGGACGACGGCCUCCGGGUUGUAAACCGCUUUCAGCAGGGAAGAAAUUCGACGGUAC